This is a non-coding RNA of Paragonimus skrjabini miyazakii, 81 nucleotides long. The record is from the annotation of a GenBank genome assembly. Lineage: Eukaryota; Metazoa; Platyhelminthes; Trematoda; Plagiorchiida; Troglotrematidae.
GACUUCGUAGCUCAGCUGUUAGAGCGCUUGCCGUAUUUGGGCUCAUUGUUUCUGCGGCUGGUUCGAAUCCAGCCGAAGCCU